CCUACGGGUGGCAGCAGUGAGGAAUAUUGGUCAAUGGCCGGAAGGCUGAACCAGCCAUGCCGCGUGAAGGUCAGUGCCCUAUGGGCGUUAAACUUCUUUUGUGCGGGAGCAAUAAUGGUCACGUGUGGCCAGACGGGAGUACCGUACGAAUAAGCAUCGGCUAACUCCGUGCCCGCAGCCGCGGUGAUACGGGGGAUGCAAGCGUUAUCCGGAUUUAUUGGGUUUAAAAGGUGCGUAGGCUGGGAGGUAAGUCAGCGGUGAAAUGCCCCCGCGCAACGGGGUGAAGUGCCAUUGAUACUGGGUGGCGGGAAUGCGGAUGACGUGGGAGGAAUGUGUGGUGUAGCGGUGAAAUGCAUAGAUAUCACACAGAACACCGAUUGCGAAGGCAGCGCACGAGUCCGCGAUUGACGCUGAUGCACGAAAGCGUGGGUAUCAAACAGGAUUAGAUACCCCGGUAGUC
RNAcentral lists this ribosomal RNA (460 nucleotides) under uncultured bacterium. Its description in RNAcentral is "partial 16S ribosomal RNA". It matches the Rfam family "Bacterial small subunit ribosomal RNA", at positions 338 to 795 of the family's 1533-position model. The record is from RNAcentral.